AGUGUUUAGCUGCUCCUAUAAAGUCACCUGACCUGCACCUGUUUGUUAGUGUUUUGUUUCCCUGCCCAACAGCAGGAGGAUGAUUGCGCUUUCUUUUGGGUGGUGCUGCUUAGUAGGACUGUGAUCUGAUAACAGUGUUGUCCUAUUGUCAGGUGUGGAGGAUCCCUGCUGCCUUCUACCAGCGCUACACUGAUCUCUCCAAACUGAAUUCUGUCACUAUUGAGGCUCUCCGACCCCCUCCCAUCUAGUUUAAGCGUGAGCCCAUUGGCUGUGGACUCUGCCAAUAUCCAAGAAUCGAUGAGAGCGACUGUAAAAUCGAGGGAGGUUCAGAGUAACCUUUACAUCCAGCUCUGGGCCCUCUUGUAUUGGGCGUUCGCCAAUAGGCUCAAACUAUAUUUUGUUAUUGUUUGUGGGAAAUGUAAAAUUACAUUAUCUGUUUUUUGUAAA
This is a long non-coding RNA of Xenopus laevis (African clawed frog), 447 nucleotides long. RefSeq lists it as uncharacterized. The transcript has 3 exons. NCBI's taxonomy places the organism in Eukaryota, Metazoa, Chordata, Amphibia, Anura, Pipidae. The record is from RefSeq and is a predicted model, not a curated record.